UUAUGAUUUUUUUAUACUAAUAUAAUAACUUGAUUACAAAAACUAUAUUUAUGUAAAUAUUAAUGUUCAAAAUGUCCUAAUCAUUUUAAAAUAAAGCUGUUGGGAAAAAAUAAUGAGCUUGGUUUUUGGAUACCAAGAAUAAGUGUUCUUUCAAGUUUGAAUAAUGUAUUUAAUUUGCUUAUGUUAAUAUCCCGUUUUAUAAUCAACAGUUUAUAUAUGUUAUGCCCAAACACCAAAAUCGCACAAUGACCAAAAAAAUAGCCAUAACGCAUUGUGGCCAGUUCCACCAAAACCAAUACGCAUUCUGAGCAUUUCGAAAUGACCACUGACCAUUCUGAAACAGAUCAGGCAUGUGUUUAUAGUAGUAUUUUCUGUGUAAGGUUGCCAGCACAUUAUAAUGUGUUGGCAUGUCACACAGGAGGACCUGUCCCAUGUCUAGCAUCACCUGAAAAGUUUCUUUGGGGGUUCUGGGCCAGCCUAGUGAUUCCCAUCCUUCACCAUCUGGUCCCACCCUUUAGUUAUCUGAUUGGAAAGGGGCAUAAAAUAGCAAAAAAAGUAUGCUCCGUGUUACUAGGUAAUAAUGG
RNAcentral lists this long non-coding RNA (584 nucleotides) under Androctonus crassicauda. Lineage: Eukaryota; Metazoa; Arthropoda; Arachnida; Scorpiones; Buthidae. The record is from RNAcentral.